RNAcentral lists this ribosomal RNA (481 nucleotides) under uncultured Saprospiraceae bacterium. Its description in RNAcentral is "bacterial SSU rRNA". It matches the Rfam family "Bacterial small subunit ribosomal RNA", at positions 28 to 505 of the family's 1533-position model. The record is from RNAcentral. Lineage: Bacteria; Pseudomonadati; Bacteroidota; Saprospiria; Saprospirales; Saprospiraceae.
GAUGAACGCUAGCGGGAGGCUUAAUACAUGCAAGUCGAACGGUAAGGUCAGAGCUUGCUCUGAUACACGAGUGGCGCACGGGUGAGUAACGCGUACAUAACCUACCCUUAAGUGGGGAAUAGCCCCGGGAAACUGGGAAUAAUACCCCAUAAUAUUACUUUAUUGAUUUUGAGGUAAUUAAAGCUACGGCGCUUAAGGAUGGAUGUGCGUCCCAUUAGAUUGUUGGUGAGGUAACGGCUCACCAAGUCGACGAUGGGUAGGGGGCGUGAGAGCGUGAUCCCCCACACGGGUACUGAGACACGGACCCGACUCCUACGGGAGGCAGCAGUAAGGAAUAUUGGACAAUGGGCGAAAGCCUGAUCCAGCCAUCCCGCGUGCAGGAUGACUGCCCUAUGGGUUGUAAACUGCUUUUAUAGAGGAAGAAACACCUGGAUUUAUCCGGGUUUGACGGUACUCUAUGAAUAAGCACCGGCUAACUCCG